This is a long non-coding RNA of Ictalurus punctatus (channel catfish), 1538 nucleotides long. The record is from Ensembl. Lineage: Eukaryota; Metazoa; Chordata; Actinopteri; Siluriformes; Ictaluridae.
CUGUAGACAGUAGUUAGAGGAGCAGCUGGACAGCUAGGAGAAAGAUGACUGAAGGAGAGGGCACGGCCGGCAAAGCAGCACGUUUCUGCGACGCUUUCUUGUUUUCACAUAGUUCACCACUCAAAACCGUCGCAGGAGUGUACAUGCUUUUGGACAUGCUUCCAGCGGCAUGCCGUGCGUGUGAGUGCUGCUGCGCUGCCGUGUGUAGCUGGUUUAAAAAAGCUACAAUGAUGAAUGCUUCUGGCUCGAAAUAAACUCAGAGAUUAAGGAUGUAACAACACGAUCAUGGGUUGUAUGGCGAGAAACAAAUUAGUCAGUGUAAAUGAGCUUUUUGGGGUUAUAAACAUACCAUCCCAAAGUAGGGAUGCACCGAGAGUUCCACCACCGCCUGCAAAUGAAUGGUUCUGACAGGUUUUUUGGACUGACGAACACAGUUUUCACUUUUAAGACCGAGUACAACAACAGGUUAUUUACAAACAAUUUGUUGUUGCAGUUAGUCUUGAGAAUUUAAUAAUACAUCACUGACAUGUUCAUGCAGUGAAUCAGUUUGUUUGCUGUUGCUCAAAACAGUGGAUCCAGGCUGGUAACCUUGAAUCUCUUUUUCCUGUUUUAGAAGAUAUGCGUGCACCGUUUCUCACACACACACACACACGUGCACACACACUACGUUACAUUUUCCGACGCUACCUGAUCCGUACUGCACAUGCCAAUGAUGAAUACUUAUUUGUAUUUGCAUGUGUUUUUUGCAGUGCUGGAUUUUUUUUAAAAUGCUACCUGCUAUGCAAAUGAUCAGUGAUGUUAUUUCAUCACCACGUACUGCUUCGGUUAAUUAUUUUAAAUUAUUCCAAAGCAUAAAUUAAAAGGGUAAUUAAUUAAAGUAAGUCCUGCAAUGGUUGAGAAAGUAAACUGAUUAAAAAGAAAAAAAUAUAUAUAUAUAUAAUAAAUAAAUAAAUAACCUGGCACUUGUUUUUGUUUCAGUCCAGUGUGUCCUGAGACUGGACUUAUUUUCGGUGCAUCACUACCUCUAAGAUGUAGAAGGCUUGAUUAGACUAAAAUACUUGCAUGCUUGAUAUAGCACACCGCUCCUGGUUAUAUCCUAAACCACAGUCUUUACUAUAACCCUAGCCAGAAAUAUAUCAAUAUAUUCCUCCACAACUACUGCCCUCUCCUUUGUUUUCUUUCUUCUGCUUCAGUUAAACAGGAAGAAAAUGUAGGCAGAUUUUUUUUAUUAUUAUUAUUUUAUUUUUUUUUAUUUGUUAACCAGGUCUCGGAUUCCCUCCUCCUGACUUGAAGCCGAACAAGUAGCCACUGUUCUAAUGCUGCAGUUGUGCAGCAGGAACUUUGACUAUAUCUGAGGGUGUGUACAUAGCAGUCCAUAUGAUACUUAAUAGUACAGAUGUACAGGUUUUUAUUCGUUGCUCUUGAUAUGUAUGAAGAUAAUUGUAUUGUUUUUGAAUGCAUCAACAGGGAGUUUUGAAUUAUGAACAAUGAAAUAAUGACAUGCAGUUACCACAAUAAAGUGAUUAAACUGAAACGAG